Molecule: ribosomal RNA, 474 nt
Filed under: uncultured organism
Description: partial 16S ribosomal RNA
Rfam family: Bacterial small subunit ribosomal RNA
Source: RNAcentral
UACACUCCUGCGGGAGGCAGCAGUGGGGAAUAUUGCACAAUGGGCGCAAGCCUGAUGCAGCCAUGCCGCGUGUAUGAAGAAGGCCUUCGGGUUGUAAAGUACUUUCAGCGGGGAGGAAGGCGAUAAGGUUAAUAACCUUGUCGAUUGACGUUACCCGCAGAAGAAGCACCAGCUAACUCCGUGCCAGCAGCCGCGGUAAUACGGAGGGUGCAAGCGUUAAUCGGAAUUACUGGGCGUAAAGCGCACGCAGGCGGUCUGUCAAGUCGGAUGUGAAAUCCCCGGGCUCAACCUGGGAACUGCAUUCGAAACUGGCAGGCUAGAGUCUUGUAGAGGGGGGUAGAAUUCCAGGUGUAGCGGUGAAAUGCGUAGAGAUCUGGAGGAAUACCGGUGGCGAAGGCGGCCCCCUGGACAAAGACUGACGCUCAGGUGCGAAAGCGUGGGGAGCAAACAGGAUUAGAAACCCGUGUAGUCCCA